AUUGAACGCUGGCGGCAGGCCUAACACAUGCAAGUCGAACGGUAACAGGUCUUCGGAUGCUGACGAGUGGCGAACGGGUGAGUAAUACAUCGGAACGUGCCCGAGAGUGGGGGAUAACGAGGCGAAAGCUUUGCUAAUACCGCAUACGAUCUCAGGAUGAAAGCAGGGGACCGCAAGGCCUUGCGCUCACGGAGCGGCCGAUGGCAGAUUAGGUAGUUGGUGGGAUAAAAGCUUACCAAGCCGACGAUCUGUAGCUGGUCUGAGAGGACGACCAGCCACACUGGGACUGAGACACGGCCCAGACUCCUACGGGAGGCAGCAGUGGGGAAUUUUGGACAAUGGGCGCAAGCCUGAUCCAGCCAUGCCGCGUGCAGGAUGAAGGCCUUCGGGUUGUAAACUGCUUUUGUACGGAACGAAAAGACUCUGGUUAAUACCUGGGGUCCAUGACGGUACCGUAAGAAUAAGCACCGGCUAACUACGUGCCAGCAGCCGCCGUAA
This 498-nucleotide ribosomal RNA is filed under the name uncultured bacterium. RNAcentral's name for it is "partial 16S ribosomal RNA". It matches the Rfam family "Bacterial small subunit ribosomal RNA", at positions 30 to 523 of the family's 1533-position model. The record is from RNAcentral.